Molecule: ribosomal RNA, 470 nt
Filed under: uncultured bacterium
Lineage: Bacteria
Description: partial 16S ribosomal RNA
Rfam family: Bacterial small subunit ribosomal RNA
Source: RNAcentral
GGACGAACGCUGGCGGCGUGCUUAACACAUGCAAGUCGAACGGUGAAGCGAGUGCUUGCACUCGUGGAUCAGUGGCGAACGGGUGAGUAACACGUGAGUAACCUGCCCAUCACUCUGGGAUAAGCACUGGAAACGGUGUCUAAUACUGGAUACGACCAACCCUUGCAUGGGGUGUUGGUGGAAAGAUUUAUCGGUGAUGGAUGGACUCGCGGCCUAUCAGCUUGUUGGCGGGGUAAUGGCCCACCAAGGCGACGACGGGUAGCCGGCCUGAGAGGGUGACCGGCCACACUGGGACUGAGACACGGCCCAGACUCCUACGGGAGGCAGCAGUGGGGAAUAUUGCACAAUGGGCGAAAGCCUGAUGCAGCGACGCCGCGUGAGGGAUGACGGCCUUCGGGUUGUAAACCUCUUUCAGCAGGGAAGAAGCGAAAGUGACGGUACCUGCAGAAGAAGCACCGGCUAACUACGUG